GCAUAUCAAUAAGCGGAGGAAAAGAAACCAACAGGGAUUGCCUCAGUAACGGCGAGUGAAGCGGCAAAAGCUCAAAUUUGGAAUCUAGCACCUUCGGUGUUCGAGUUGUAAUUUGAAGAUGGUAACCUUGGGUUUGGCUCUUGUCUAUGUUCCUUGGAACAGGACGUCAUAGAGGGUGAGAAUCCCGUCUGAUGAGAUGCCCAUUCCUAUGUAAGGUGCUAUCGAAGAGUCGAGUUGUUUGGGAAUGCAGCUCUAAGUGGGUGGUAAAUUCCAUCUAAAGCUAAAUAUUGGCGAGAGACCGAUAGCGAACAAGUACAGUGAUGGAAAGAUGAAAAGAACUUUGAAAAGAGAGUGAAAAAGUGCGUGAAAUUGUUGAAAGGGAAGGGCAUUAGAUCAGACUUGGUGUUUUACGAUUAUCUUCUCUUCUUGAGUUGUGCACUCGUAUUUCACUGGGCCAGCAUCGAUUCGGAUGGCAAGAUAAUGGCAGUUGAAUGUGGCUUCACUUCGGUGGAGUGUUAUAGCUUCUGCUGAUAUUGCCUGUCUGGAUCGAGGGCUGCGUCUUUUGACUAGGAUGCUGGCGUAAUGAUCUAAUGUGGUCCGUCUUGAAACACGGACC
RNAcentral lists this ribosomal RNA (616 nucleotides) under uncultured fungus. RNAcentral's name for it is "LSU rRNA". It matches the Rfam family "Eukaryotic large subunit ribosomal RNA", at positions 38 to 667 of the family's 3401-position model. Lineage: Eukaryota; Fungi. The record is from RNAcentral.